AUACAUGCAAGUCGAGCGAACAGACGAGGAGCUUGCUCCUCUGACGUUAGCGGCGGACGGGUGAGUAACACGUGGAUAACCUACCUAUAAGACUGGGAUAACUUCGGGAAACCGGAGCUAAUACCGGAUAAUAUAUUGAACCGCAUGGUUCAAUAGUGAAAGACGGUUUUGCUGUCACUUAUAGAUGGAUCCGCGCCGCAUUAGCUAGUUGGUAAGGUAACGGCUUACCAAGGCAACGAUGCGUAGCCGACCUGAGAGGGUGAUCGGCCACACUGGAACUGAGACACGGUCCAGACUCCUACGGGAGGCAGCAGUAGGGAAUCUUCCGCAAUGGGCGAAAGCCUGACGGAGCAACGCCGCGUGAGUGAUGAAGGUCUUCGGAUCGUAAAACUCUGUUAUUAGGGAAGAACAAAUGUGUAAGUAACUAUGCACGUCUUGACGGUACCUAAUCAGAAAGCCACGGCUA
This 466-nucleotide ribosomal RNA is filed under the name Staphylococcus epidermidis. Its description in RNAcentral is "bacterial SSU rRNA". It matches the Rfam family "Bacterial small subunit ribosomal RNA", at positions 51 to 499 of the family's 1533-position model. The record is from RNAcentral. Lineage: Bacteria; Bacillati; Bacillota; Bacilli; Caryophanales; Staphylococcaceae.